AUAAACGCUGGCGGCGUGCUUCAGGCAUGCAAGUCGAACGAGCAAUCCGGUUCGCCGGUGCGCUAGUGGCGGACGGGUGAGUAACACGUAAGCAACCUGCCCAGAAGUGUGGAAUAACCCACCGAAAGGUGAGCUAAUACCGCAUAUGAUGUUUCCCCCCUGGGGGGACCAUUAAAGGCGAAAGUCGCUUCUGGAGGGGCUUGCGGCCGAUUAGCUAGUUGGUGGGGUAACGGCCUACCAAGGCUACGAUCGGUAGCUGGUCUGAGAGGACGGACAGCCACACGGGGACUGAGAUACGGCCCCGACUCCUACGGGAGGCAGCAGCUAGGAAUCUUGGGAAUGGGCGAAAGCCUGACCCAGCAACGCCGCGUGGGCGAUGAAGGCCUUCGGGUCGUAAAGCCCUUUUGCGGGGGACGAUAAUGACGGUACCCCGCGAAUAAGCCACGGCUAACUACGU
RNAcentral lists this ribosomal RNA (457 nucleotides) under uncultured bacterium. RNAcentral's name for it is "bacterial SSU rRNA". It matches the Rfam family "Bacterial small subunit ribosomal RNA", at positions 29 to 506 of the family's 1533-position model. The record is from RNAcentral.